GCGAACGCUGGCGGCAGGCCUAAUACAUGCAAGUCGAGCGGUCCCUUCGGGGGCAGCGGCGGACGGGUGAGUAACGCGUGGGAACGUGCCCUUUGGUACGGAACAACUGAGGGAAACUUCAGCUAAUACCGUAUGUGCCCUUCGGGGGAAAGAUUUAUCGCCAUUGGAGCGGCCCGCGUUGGAUUAGGUAGUUGGUGAGGUAAAGGCUCACCAAGCCUACGAUCCAUAGCUGGUCUGAGAGGAUGAUCAGCCACACUGGGACUGAGACACGGCCCAGACUCCUACGGGAGGCAGCAGUAGGGAAUCUUGCGCAAUGGGCGAAAGCCUGACGCAGCCAUGCCGCGUGAAUGAUGAAGGUCUUAGGAUUGUAAAAUUCUUUCACCGGGGACGAUAAUGACGGUACCCGGAGAAGAAGCCCCGGCUAACUUCGU
This 431-nucleotide ribosomal RNA is filed under the name uncultured bacterium. RNAcentral's name for it is "bacterial SSU rRNA". It matches the Rfam family "Bacterial small subunit ribosomal RNA", at positions 29 to 506 of the family's 1533-position model. The record is from RNAcentral.